Long non-coding RNA from Symphalangus syndactylus (siamang), 203 nucleotides. RefSeq lists it as uncharacterized. NCBI's taxonomy places the organism in Eukaryota, Metazoa, Chordata, Mammalia, Primates, Hylobatidae. The record is from RefSeq and is a predicted model, not a curated record.
CUAGACAUGGGAGAGUCAGGUUCAGAGGUACAUCUGCAAGUUUGUAAUAUAGGUAAACUUGCAUGGUGGAAAUUUGGUGUGCAGAUUACUUCAUCAUUCAGUUUUCAGGAAUUGCAAAGUCUGAGAUUUUAUUCUGCUUGCAAGCUCACAAUUUAGCCAGCCACUGUUUCAUAGAUGUGGACAGAAGCUGCAACUCCUGGGCC